This is a long non-coding RNA of Protobothrops mucrosquamatus (brown spotted pit viper), 410 nucleotides long. RefSeq lists it as uncharacterized. The record is from RefSeq and is a predicted model, not a curated record. Lineage: Eukaryota; Metazoa; Chordata; Lepidosauria; Squamata; Viperidae. The transcript has 3 exons.
CCACAUUUGCGAAGUGGAUCACUGCCGUUGUGAACUUAGUAACAUGAUUGUUAAGUGAAUCUGACUUUCCCAUGGGCUUUGCUUGUCAGAAGGUCGCAAAAGGGGACACUGCAACCGUCAUAAAUGCAGGUAACAUAGACACGUUCUAGCAUGGAUGCUUUUGCUAAUCACAGUUGCCACCUCCUUCAGCAGCUCCACAAUCAGCGGAUACAAGGUCUUCUCUGUGAUUGUAUGUUGGUGGUCAGAGGUGUCUCCUUCAAAGCACAUAAAAAUGUGUUGGCUGCUUUCAGCCAAUAUUUUAGACUUCCCCAAUCGCCAGGAUUCUGGACAGUGUGCAGAAAGCAAAAUGAAAUAAGGAAAACAUGGUGUGAUGUUGCUCCUAAAAACUGUUACCAACUGCAAAAAUAAAA